This 246-nucleotide ribosomal RNA is filed under the name uncultured bacterium. RNAcentral describes it as "partial 16S ribosomal RNA". It matches the Rfam family "Bacterial small subunit ribosomal RNA", at positions 263 to 521 of the family's 1533-position model. The record is from RNAcentral.
UCAGGCCACAGGCGACGACGGGUAGCCGGCCUGAGAGGGUGACCGGCCACACUGGGACUGAGACACGGCCCAGACUCCUACGGGAGGCAGCAGUGGGGAAUAUUGCGCAAUGGGCGAAAGCCUGAUGCAGCGACGCCGCGUGAGGGAUGAAGGCCUUCGGGUUGUAAACCUCUUUCAGAAGGGAAGAAGCUGACGUGACUGUACCUGCAAAACAAGCCCCGGCUAACUACGUGCACCAGCCGCGGA